This is a non-coding RNA of Ictidomys tridecemlineatus (thirteen-lined ground squirrel), 673 nucleotides long. The record is from RefSeq and is a predicted model, not a curated record. Lineage: Eukaryota; Metazoa; Chordata; Mammalia; Rodentia; Sciuridae.
GAUUCCAUUCUAAAAAUAAACAAAAAGUAAUUACAUUUAAAUUUAUUUAAGAUAAAUGUAAUCUUAGUUUAGAAACAAGUCUAUAAUCUUUCUUGCUGUAAAUAUCUGCUUAUUUACAAGACAACAAUUGUCUAUAAAUGAUUGUGUCUACUGAUGUGAUAAAUGACAGCACAAUUUUGAGCAAAUAUUUAUGGCAAGAAUUCAAUAAAUACAUUUAAAAAUAACAUCUAGAACAACUUGAGGCUCCAAUUUCACUAUAACAUUUAAUAAAUAUCUAAGAAGUGAAGCAACUAGUAAGAUCAAUUGAAUAUAUUACACCAUUUGGAAAUAUUUGCCAUUGUGGACACCGCACUGGUAAUUGGUAAUUAUGUUUGUGUAACACCAAAUAUUAUUUUUAAAUGUUAAUAUAAUUCCCUAAUUUUAAAUGGAGUAAACAUGUCAUUUCUCUUUGCCAACAAAAGUAAUGCAAGAAUACCAAGAAAAAUGAGAGACAAGAGGACAUCUGCAAUGCUGAAAUAAAUGUGUACAAGUUGCCAACAGAUACAACAAUAAAGUGUCAUCUUGGAAGCAGAGGACAACCCUCACCAAACACUGAACAUGCUGCCACCUUGAUCUUGGACUUCCCUGCCUCUCAAACUAUCAGAAAAAUAAAGUUAUAUUUUUUGUUUAUAAA